GUAUUUAACCUGCACUGCAGGUGAACUUGAAGAAGAAGAUGAUUACGUGAAUACAGCUGUUUACAUUGUGAACAAAAAGCCACCCACUUCAGAUAAGAAGAUUCUCUCCAUCAUUCAGCGCUUUUCACCAGUAGCAGUGUGUUGGGGGGUAUUGUUGCUUAUCAUGGCUCUCCGUAUUUACUGGGUUCAUCUUCAAUAGCACCUCAGCCAGUUUGGGAGACACCUCCUUCUGGAUUGGCCUCAGAGUUGAAGAGGGCAGCUGGACAUGGGUCAGUGGAGGUCGUCUGAAUGAACACUACUGGAUAUAUGGACCUGCUGACGACCACCACUGUGUGAUUUCUGUCACAGACACUGAAGGAUGGGAGGCUGUGAGCUGUGACGUUAAAAAUGGAUGGGUCUGUGAGAUGAGUGCUUCCUCUCUCUAAGUAGGCAAAUGCAGCCAAAACAUUUAAGAAAAAAAAAUACUUGAUAGACUGAACUGCUUAUAUGUUACAAAUAACAAUGCUCCCACUGAGAAAAAAAUCUAAUUUUAUGAUCACUUGUGCAACAUGGGAUAUCCUGCACAACCAAAUUAAUGCUGAUCCGCAUUCUUUAUGUCGCCAGACUCUCAAAGCCGAAAUAACAAGCCAUGAAAGCAACGGUCAAAUGCUUAUUUGUUUGUGUGGAGUUUGUAUCAAUACACUUUGUUGAUUUUUUGCUGCAGAAACUGAUUUUAUUGAACAUUUUAUAUUGUACAAUA
Notolabrus celidotus (New Zealand spotty) is the source of this 739-nucleotide long non-coding RNA. RefSeq lists it as uncharacterized. The record is from RefSeq and is a predicted model, not a curated record. The transcript has 4 exons. Lineage: Eukaryota; Metazoa; Chordata; Actinopteri; Labriformes; Labridae.